RNAcentral lists this ribosomal RNA (663 nucleotides) under Escherichia coli. RNAcentral's name for it is "partial 23S ribosomal RNA". It matches the Rfam family "Bacterial large subunit ribosomal RNA", at positions 2259 to 2916 of the family's 2925-position model. RNAcentral also lists the same sequence under 6 other names. The record is from RNAcentral. Lineage: Bacteria; Pseudomonadati; Pseudomonadota; Gammaproteobacteria; Enterobacterales; Enterobacteriaceae.
UGGUGGGUAGUUUGACUGGGGCGGUCUCCUCCUAAAGAGUAACGGAGGAGCACGAAGGUUGGCUAAUCCUGGUCGGACAUCAGGAGGUUAGUGCAAUGGCAUAAGCCAGCUUGACUGCGAGCGUGACGGCGCGAGCAGGUGCGAAAGCAGGUCAUAGUGAUCCGGUGGUUCUGAAUGGAAGGGCCAUCGCUCAACGGAUAAAAGGUACUCCGGGGAUAACAGGCUGAUACCGCCCAAGAGUUCAUAUCGACGGCGGUGUUUGGCACCUCGAUGUCGGCUCAUCACAUCCUGGGGCUGAAGUAGGUCCCAAGGGUAUGGCUGUUCGCCAUUUAAAGUGGUACGCGAGCUGGGUUUAGAACGUCGUGAGACAGUUCGGUCCCUAUCUGCCGUGGGCGCUGGAGAACUGAGGGGGGCUGCUCCUAGUACGAGAGGACCGGAGUGGACGCAUCACUGGUGUUCGGGUUGUCAUGCCAAUGGCACUGCCCGGUAGCUAAAUGCGGAAGAGAUAAGUGCUGAAAGCAUCUAAGCACGAAACUUGCCCCGAGAUGAGUUCUCCCUGACCCUUUAAGGGUCCUGAAGGAACGUUGAAGACGACGACGUUGAUAGGCCGGGUGUGUAAGCGCAGCGAUGCGUUGAGCUAACCGGUACUAAUGAACCGUGAGG